Molecule: ribosomal RNA, 464 nt
Filed under: uncultured bacterium
Lineage: Bacteria
Description: partial 16S ribosomal RNA
Rfam family: Bacterial small subunit ribosomal RNA
Source: RNAcentral
GACGAAUGCUGGCGGCGUGCUUAACACAUGCAAGUCGAACGGAAAGGCCCUGCUUGCAGGGUACUCGAGUGGCGAACGGGUGAGUAACACGUGGGUGAUCUGCCCUGCACUUCGGGAUAAGCCUGGGAAACUGGGUCUAAUACCGGAUAGGAGCCAUUUUUAGUGUGAUGGUUGGAAAGUUUUUUCGGUGUAGGAUGAGCUCGCGGCCUAUCAGCUUGUUGGUGGGGCAAUGGCCUACCAAGGCGGCGACGGGUAGCCGGCCUGAGAGGGUGGACGGCCACAUUGGGACUGAGAUACGGCCCAGACUCCUACGGGAGGCAGCAGUGGGGAAUAUUGCACAAUGGGCGCAAGCCUGAUGCAGCGACGCCGCGUGCGGGAUGACGGCCUUCGGGUUGUAAACACAUUUCGCUAGGGACGAAGCUUUUGUGACGGUACCUAGACAAGAAGCACCGGCUAACUACGUG